GCCUGAGAAACGGCUACCACAUCCAAGGAAGGCAGCAGGCACGCAAAUUACCCAAUCCCAGCUCUGGGAGGUAGUGACGAAAAAUAACAAUGCGGGACUCUUCCGAGUCUGCGUAAUUGGAAUGAGCACACUUUAAAUCCUUUAGCAACAACCAAUUGGAGGGCAAGUCUGGUGCCAGCAGCCGCGGUAAUUCCAGCUCCAAUAGCGUAUAUUAAAGUUGUUGCGGUUAAAAAGCUCGUAGUCCGAGUUCAGUUCCGGACUGGCCGGGGAGGUCACCGCCCGGUGCUUCCCCGUCAGGCUCCGAACAGCUUUUAUGACUAAAAGCCAAGCCGGUUUUCGCCGGGGUGCUCUUCACCGAGUGUCCCGCGCGGCCGGCCAGUUGACCUUGAAUAAAUGAGAGUGCUCAAAGCAGGCUACUCUUAAAAAUAAAGCCCGAAUGUUACCUGCAUGGAAUGAUGGAAGAUGAUCUCGGUUCCAUUUUAUUGGUUCUGGGAGUCCGAGUUAAUGAUAAACAGGGACUGUCGGGGGCAUCCGUACUACGACGCGAGAGGUGAAAUUCAGUGACCGUCGUAGGACGAACAACAGCGAAAGCAUUUGCCAAGAAUGUCUUCGUUGAUCAAGAACGAAAGUUAGAGGAUCGAAGGCGAUCAGAUACCGCCCUAGUUCUAACCCUAAACGAUGCUGACUAGCAAUCCGCCGUCGUUAUUCCCAUGACGUGGCGGGACGCCCCCGGGAAACCUCAAGUCUUUGAGUUCCGGGGGUAGUAUGGUUGCAAAACUGAAACUUAAAGGAAUUGACGGAAGGGCACCACCAGGAGUGGAGCCUGCGGCUUAAUUUGACUCAACACGGGAAACCUCACCAGGCCCGGACACCAGAAGGAUUGACAGAUUAAGAGCUCUUUCUCGAUUUGGUGGGUGGUGGUGCAUGGCCGUUCUUAGUUGGUGGAGUGAUUUGUCUGGUUAAUUCCGGUAACGAACGAGACUCUGGCCUACUAAAUAGUCGACGUGGGUUUUGGUGCAUGGGCCCCGUUCGACAAUGUCUUCUUAGAGGGAUGAGCAGCGAGUAUAGCUGCAGGAGAUUGAGCAAUAACAGGUCUGUGAUGCCCUUAGAUGUCCUGGGCCGCACGCGCGCUACACUGAAUGGGUUAGCGGGUUCUCCUUCUCCGAGAGGAGAGGGAAAUCGCGUGAAAACCAUUCGUGAUAGGGAUUGGGGCUUGCAAUUGUUUCCCAUGAACGAGGAAUUCCCAGUAAGCGCAAGUCAUCAGCUUGCGUUGAUUAAGUCCCUGCCCUUUGUACACACCGCCCGUCGCUACUACCGAUUGAAUGAUUUAGUGAGGCCUUCGGACUGGCGGUCUUGGACUGGGCUCCACUCGCCAUCACUCCAGCAAUGGGGGGCGGUGGACUCGCCAUGACGAGCCGGAAAGAUGUCCAAACUUGAUCAUUUAGAGGAAGUAAAAGUCGUAACAAGGUUUCC
Molecule: ribosomal RNA, 1473 nt
Filed under: Alvinocaris lusca
Lineage: Eukaryota; Metazoa; Arthropoda; Malacostraca; Decapoda; Alvinocarididae
Also listed under: 2 other names
Description: SSU rRNA
Rfam family: Eukaryotic small subunit ribosomal RNA
Source: RNAcentral